Molecule: long non-coding RNA, 583 nt
Organism: Bubalus bubalis (water buffalo)
Lineage: Eukaryota; Metazoa; Chordata; Mammalia; Artiodactyla; Bovidae
Exons: 3
Source: RefSeq, a predicted model, not a curated record
UGUCAUCACUGAAACGACAGCCACCACUCACGAAGCACCAGAAUGCGCCGGGCUCCGGGCUGGGCAGUCUGUGCAGAUCCUUGUCUACUGAGCACACCAUUACAGCUCACCUGACACCCGGAGGCAGGAACUGACGCCUCAGACUUUCAAGCCACAAGGUCACCUACUUUCAAAACGGAGCAUCAUAAAAACCUCACAAGGAAAAGCAGAGACUGGUGAGAUACCCCUCAUGCUGAUCACAGCUCGAAGUCAGAGCCGGCUGUCACCACCUGAGAAACCGGUCCCCAGAUUUGGGAAAGCUGGAACAUGGGAGAAAGAGGAGCUGAAAACAAUUCCAAAGUCUUUGCCUGGAGUGCCUGGAAGGCCAGAGUGGCCGUUGGCUGAGAUGGGAAGACUGGGUGAGUUGUAAGCUGGUGGGGUGUGAGUUUCAUUUGGCUGCACGGGGCUGAAGAGCCCCCAGAUCGGGCGGGGAGAUGGAGGAGUUUAUUUGCCGUCUAGGACUUGCCCACGUCUGUUCUCCACUCCAUUUCCUGGGGGCGGGGGGUGGUGGUCUUAGCCCUCUGUUUUCAGGCCUGGGUGUCCC